UACGGAGGACCCAAGCGUUGUUCGGAAUCACUGGGCGUAAAGCGUGCGUAGGAGGCGGGGAAAGUCUGAGGUGCAAUCCCACCGCUUAACGGGCGGACUGCAUGGGAAACUGCAUGGCUCGAGGGCCGGAGAGGUAGGAGGAAUUCCCGGUGUAGCGGUGAAAUGCGUAGAUAUCGGGAGGAACAUCGACGGCGAAGGCGGCCUUCUGGAAGGUUACUGACUCUGAGGCACGAAGGCCAGGGGAGCAAACGGG
RNAcentral lists this ribosomal RNA (253 nucleotides) under uncultured bacterium. Its description in RNAcentral is "partial 16S ribosomal RNA". It matches the Rfam family "Bacterial small subunit ribosomal RNA", at positions 524 to 776 of the family's 1533-position model. The record is from RNAcentral.